CUCCUACGGGAGGCAGCAGUGGGGAAUUUUGGACAAUGGGGGCAACCCUGAUCCAGCAAUGCCGCGUGUGUGAAGAAGGCCUUCGGGUUGUAAAGCACUUUUGUCCGGGAAGAAAUCGCACCUGAUAAUACCGGGUGUGGAUGACGGUACCGGAAGAAUAAGGACCGGCUAACUACGUGCCAGCAGCCGCGGUAAUACGUAGGGUCCAAGCGUUAAUCGGAAUUACUGGGCGUAAAGCGUGCGCAGGCGGUUGUGCAAGACCGAUGUGAAAUCCCCGGGCUUAACUUGGGAAUUGCAUUGGUGACUGCACGGCUAGAGUGUGUCAGAGGGGGGUAGAAUUCCACGUGUAGCAGUGAAAUGCGUAGAGAUGUGGAGGAAUACCGAUGGCGAAGGCAGCCCCCUGGGAUAACACUGACGCUCAUGCACGAAAGCGUGGGGAGCAAACAGGAUUAGAUACCCUGGUAGUCCACGCCCUAAACGAUGUCAACUAGUUGUUGGGGAUUCAUUUCCUUAGUAACGUAGCUAACGCGUGAAGUUGACCGCCUGGGGAGUACGGUCGCAAGAUUAAAACUCAAAGGAAUUGACGG
This 587-nucleotide ribosomal RNA is filed under the name uncultured bacterium. Its description in RNAcentral is "bacterial SSU rRNA". It matches the Rfam family "Bacterial small subunit ribosomal RNA", at positions 336 to 916 of the family's 1533-position model. The record is from RNAcentral.